UUUUAUUUGAGAGUUUGAUCCUGGCUCAGGAUGAACGCUGGCGGCGUGCCUAACACAUGCAAGUCGAGCGAACCCUUCGGGGUGAGCGGCGGACGGGUGAGUAACGCGUGGGUAACCUGCCCUGUACACACGGAUAACAUACCGAAAGGUAUGCUAAUACGAGAUGAUAUAUAAAAGUUGCAUGACUUUUAUAUCA
Molecule: ribosomal RNA, 196 nt
Filed under: Paraclostridium tenue
Lineage: Bacteria; Bacillati; Bacillota; Clostridia; Peptostreptococcales; Peptostreptococcaceae
Description: partial 16S ribosomal RNA
Rfam family: Bacterial small subunit ribosomal RNA
Source: RNAcentral